RNAcentral lists this long non-coding RNA (274 nucleotides) under Lathyrus oleraceus (garden pea). RNAcentral describes it as "Pisum sativum (pea) long non-coding RNA (PSAT_LNC012575)". The record is from RNAcentral. Lineage: Eukaryota; Viridiplantae; Streptophyta; Magnoliopsida; Fabales; Fabaceae.
GAGUGAUAUAAGGUUCAGAUGGUUGAAUCACAGGUGGUUGGGUUUCAGAGGGUGUGGUGGUUGUUUGUGGUGGAAGUGAGGUUUGAUUUUCAGAGGAGAUGGUGGUUGUUUGUUGUGGAAGAGAAGUUCGGAGGGGAGAGGUUACUUCAGUUUGUGUUUGAGUUUGUGGAGCGAAAUUUUUAGCAUAAAUUUCAGCUAUUGUUGGGGAGUUUGGGUCAGAGUGUUCUUGAUCAGAAGACUCAUGAUCAGAGGACUCUUGGUUAGAAGAAGGGGA